ACUUCGGAAAGGAGGUGGUUCGGCAGAUGUAUGAAUACCGGACGGAAGAGGUGACUGCGGGCUAGUGGCCCGCCGUCGUACUCGGUUCGGCGCCGGACCAGCGCGUGCGCGAAGCGUGCAGCCGGCCUAAUCCAACGCAGUCACCCGACCCGCGAGCUCGCCGGUACGUCCGGCCGGCUCCCCCGCCGUCAGGCAGGGGGACCUGAGCUCGCGGGUCGUCUGCG
RNAcentral lists this small RNA (224 nucleotides) under Streptomyces sp. NRRL F-5122. RNAcentral's name for it is "Actinobacteria sRNA Ms_IGR-5". It matches the Rfam family "Actinobacteria sRNA Ms_IGR-5". The record is from Rfam by way of RNAcentral. Lineage: Bacteria; Bacillati; Actinomycetota; Actinomycetes; Kitasatosporales; Streptomycetaceae.